CUGGGAAAUUGCCCAGUCGAGGGGGAUAACAGUUGGAAACGACUGCUAAUACCGCAUACGCCCUACGGGGGAAAGCAGGGGACCUUCGGGCCUUGCGCGAUUGGAUAUGCCCAGGUGGGAUUAGCUAGUUGGUGAGGUAAUGGCUCACCAAGGCGACGAUCCCUAGCUGGUCUGAGAGGAUGAUCAGCCACACUGGAACUGAGACACGGUCCAGACUCCUACGGGAGGCAGCAGUGGGGAAUAUUGCACAAUGGGGGAAACCCUGAUGCAGCCAUGCCGCGUGUGUGAAGAAGGCCUUCGGGUUGUAAAGCACUUUCAGCGAGGAGGAAAGGU
This 333-nucleotide ribosomal RNA is filed under the name Aeromonas sp. SrichE-2G. RNAcentral's name for it is "bacterial SSU rRNA". It matches the Rfam family "Bacterial small subunit ribosomal RNA", at positions 117 to 453 of the family's 1533-position model. The record is from RNAcentral. Lineage: Bacteria; Pseudomonadati; Pseudomonadota; Gammaproteobacteria; Aeromonadales; Aeromonadaceae.